Molecule: long non-coding RNA, 732 nt
Organism: Arvicola amphibius (Eurasian water vole)
Lineage: Eukaryota; Metazoa; Chordata; Mammalia; Rodentia; Cricetidae
Exons: 3
Source: RefSeq, a predicted model, not a curated record
GCCGGGCGACGAGCGGCUCGGCCGCCCCGGGCCGGCAGCGCAUGGAAGGCACCUCAGCCCCGGGAGCAGGAGCAAUUUGUAAUCUGCAACAAAGCAAAACUUUCUUCUUCAAACAGUCUUUCUAAAGUGUCUGCAUUUGACUCCGAUACUGAAGGGUCAUCCAUGUACGGUAAACUACAGACUGAGGAAUGUGCUUGCUUGUCGUUUCCAACAGCUGCUGGACAGCCAUAGGGGUUUGUCUGUCAACCAUUUUAAAGAAACCCAAAGACGACUUUCCAGCUUCUGUCAUCAGCAAGGAUGGAACAGCAGCCAGCCAGAGAGCAGAAGUGAUAGUCUGGACUGGGCUCAGAGGUGCCUAGGAGCCUGGCACGGAGAACUCCGGAAGCCCAAUGUCCGUUGUGAAUCACUGUUCAUACAGUGAUGCUGCUGCCUUACUUUGACCUUGUAAAGAUCCCUGAUUACAGUAGACACCAUCCAAAAGUAUCCCCACCACGCAUGGUCAUCUUUGUUUUGUUGCUUAAAAAAUAAGAGGUAGGUGUGUGCAUGUGUUCAUUCAAGAACACAAUGAUUUGGGUACCACAAGAGAAAAAGCACAGUGACUGUCUACAGUUAGAAAUCUGCUUAACCGGGCUGAAGAGAUGGUUUAGUGGUUAAGAGCACUGGCUGUUCUUCCAGAGGUCCUGAGUUCAAUUCCCAGCAACCACAUGAUGGCUCACAACCAUCCGUAGUAAG